RNAcentral lists this unclassified non-coding RNA (240 nucleotides) under soil metagenome. RNAcentral's name for it is "partial contains 5.8S ribosomal RNA, internal transcribed spacer 2, and large subunit ribosomal RNA". The record is from RNAcentral.
AACUGAUACUACCUGCGGGAACCUGCGGAGGGAUCAUUACCGAGUCUCGAACUCACCAAACCCCUGUGAACAUACCAGUGUUGCUUCGGCGGUCGACCCCUCCGCCCUUCCCCUCACCGGGUGGGCGGCGUGGUUCCGCCAGAGGACCAUAUCAAAACUCAUGUUUUUUUUCAGAAAGGAUUCCGCUCUGAGUAAACCAAAGAAAACCAUUAAAACUUUUAGCAAUGGAUCUCUAGAUCG